This 70-nucleotide transfer RNA is filed under the name Holochlora fruhstorferi. Its description in RNAcentral is "tRNA-Pro". Lineage: Eukaryota; Metazoa; Arthropoda; Insecta; Orthoptera; Tettigoniidae. The record is from RNAcentral.
CAGAAAGUAGUUUAAAUGUAAAAAUAUUAAUUUUGGGGAUUAAUAAUGGGAUAAGGAAUCUCCUUUCUGA